RNAcentral lists this non-coding RNA (624 nucleotides) under Pan troglodytes (chimpanzee). The record is from RNAcentral. Lineage: Eukaryota; Metazoa; Chordata; Mammalia; Primates; Hominidae.
CAGGCCAGGCUCCGGGAGAUGUGGAAUUGGCGAAACAACUGCCCCAGUAGUAUCCUCCGCCUAGGACUCCAAGAGUUGGCGAAUUGGGGCGCUACGCCCCGGAACCAGGGUGGCAGGGCUAUAUGUCCUCUCACCAGACUGCCCAGUGAAGGUGCUGUCACUUUGAUGAAUUAUCAAGGCUUUGUAGUGGGUGUUCUACUGGACAAAGGACAAACUGGAGACUCCCUGGAUCAAAUGUGUUGAAAAUGUUAUAGUGCUGUUAGGAAGUGCUGUUCUGGAAUACAGAAUGUGACUGCCGUGAGUGGAGUGUGACUAUGAGAUAGUUGCCUGACUGGAGACAAUGAAGCCUCAGGCCAAGGAUGCUCCCUCCUACUCAGCCCUGUUUAGUGGGAUUUUUCAGCCCACUGUAAUGCCUACUGCUGCCUGUAAAGCCACCUAAGUGCAUCACUUGCUGGUGUUCACCAUGAUAACAACAAUGUAUGGGGACAGAAUAUGUUUCUAGAGCUGCUGGUGCCACUACUGAUAAGUUACUGGGUUCCCUGAAAUAAAACACCACAGUGCAGGGCUGGAGUACAGUGGCUCAAUCAUGGCUCACUGCAGCCUAGACCUCCCGGCUUCAAGUGA